GGAACUCAAAACAAGCUGCAAGGGAAUAUCAUGUUGUAGACGUCUCCAAUACGAGGUGUGUAGCUGCUCUUCAAACUUACAAAAACUGCAUCAAAGACAUAUAUCGGAGUCAUAUCCUGGAACCAAGUGUACUUAUGCAUCUCCACAAUGAACGAAGCAGAAAUGCCUCACAGGUCUCUACAAGAAAAUUCUACAAGUUUCAUCCUUUCACCUCCAAGAAUCCCUGAACUAUGGUGUCGGAACUUUAAUUAUGCGCUUUCCUACAUGUGGGCAAAUGAUGCUCAAGUCCAAGAUGCUUUACACAUUAGAAAGAAAAUUGUUAAAAUCAAGGAAUAUGGAUAAAGAGCUCAAAUCAGCAGAGGAAGCUAGAGGGUGCAAAUUAAAAAUAUAACACCAGGAUUUUCCUUUAUGAUGGCAACAGGGAUUUGU
Long non-coding RNA from Pistacia vera, 429 nucleotides. RefSeq lists it as uncharacterized. The record is from RefSeq and is a predicted model, not a curated record. The transcript has 4 exons. Lineage: Eukaryota; Viridiplantae; Streptophyta; Magnoliopsida; Sapindales; Anacardiaceae.